GCCAGCCACCGCGGUUAUACGAGAGACCCCAGUUGAUGACUACGGCGUAAAGAGUGGUUUGGGGCGCAAAACAAAUAAAGCCAAAGACCUCCCAAGCUGUCCAACGCACCCCGGAGACACGAAGCCCUAACACGAAAGUAGCUUUACCCCCCAUCCCCGACCCCACAAAAGCUAAGAGACAAAUGGGGUUUAGAUCCCCCCUUAUGCUUACCCUUAAACUCAAAUGACACAUACAAAAAACAUCCGCCAGGGUACUACAAGCGCUAGCUUAAAACCCAAGAGACUUGACGGUGUCUCAGACCCGCCUAGAGGAG
RNAcentral lists this ribosomal RNA (314 nucleotides) under Cichlasoma sanctifranciscense. RNAcentral's name for it is "partial small subunit ribosomal RNA". It matches the Rfam family "Bacterial small subunit ribosomal RNA", at positions 507 to 939 of the family's 1533-position model. The record is from RNAcentral. Lineage: Eukaryota; Metazoa; Chordata; Actinopteri; Cichliformes; Cichlidae.